AAAAUCCCUAAACCUAAUCCUCAGAACGACGUCGUUGCUCGCACCACCGGAGCCGCCAUGACCCCUCUGUCAAGUUGGUAAAGAGAAGGUCAAUAUUAGAAGUACAAGUACAAACUGGGAAAAGCACUGCCAGAUUUAGCUACCAUCAAUCUCAAUUUGUCCAAGACAAGGUAAAAAAACACUGGUUUUUUUUUUACUAGAAAAGUUGCACCUUUUUUAUUUCCCAGAUAUCUAACUGGUUUCAAAAUUGCAUAGUAUUUUCCAGAUAUCUAACUUGCCGUAAAUCGAAAUUUGCAUCCUUUUUUCUUAUCCCUAAUAGACAAGUGCAUCUUGGUUUUGUUUCCUUUUUAUUGUCAUUUCUAUUUUAAUUAUGUUUCUUGUGGAACAAAAUCCAUAAUUUAUUUGAAGUGUGAAGUAA
Prunus dulcis (almond) is the source of this 418-nucleotide long non-coding RNA. RefSeq lists it as uncharacterized. The record is from RefSeq and is a predicted model, not a curated record. Lineage: Eukaryota; Viridiplantae; Streptophyta; Magnoliopsida; Rosales; Rosaceae. The transcript has 2 exons.